This 1477-nucleotide ribosomal RNA is filed under the name Limosilactobacillus fermentum. Its description in RNAcentral is "bacterial SSU rRNA". It matches the Rfam family "Bacterial small subunit ribosomal RNA". The record is from RNAcentral. Lineage: Bacteria; Bacillati; Bacillota; Bacilli; Lactobacillales; Lactobacillaceae.
CUCAGGAUGAACGCCGGCGGUGUGCCUAAUACAUGCAAGUCGAACGCGUUGGCCCAAUUGAUUGAUGGUGCUUGCACCUGAUUGAUUUUGGUCGCCAACGAGUGGCGGACGGGUGAGUAACACGUAGGUAACCUGCCCAGAAGCGGGGGACAACAUUUGGAAACAGAUGCUAAUACCGCAUAACAACGAUGUUCGCAUGAACAACGCUUAAAAGAUGGCUUCUCGCUAUCACUUCUGGAUGGACCUGCGGUGCAUUAGCUUGUUGGUGGGGUAACGGCCUACCAAGGCGAUGAUGCAUAGCCGAGUUGAGAGACUGAUCGGCCACAAUGGGACUGAGACACGGCCCAUACUCCUACGGGAGGCAGCAGUAGGGAAUCUUCCACAAUGGGCGCAAGCCUGAUGGAGCAACACCGCGUGAGUGAAGAAGGGUUUCGGCUCGUAAAGCUCUGUUGUUAAAGAAGAACACGUAUGAGAGUAACUGUUCAUACGUUGACGGUAUUUAACCAGAAAGUCACGGCUAACUACGUGCCAGCAGCCGCGGUAAUACGUAGGUGGCAAGCGUUAUCCGGAUUUAUUGGGCGUAAAGAGAGUGCAGGCGGUUUUCUAAGUCUGAUGUGAAAGCCUUCGGCUUAACCGGAGAAGUGCAUCGGAAACUGGAUAACUUGAGUGCAGAAGAGGGUAGUGGAACUCCAUGUGUAGCGGUGGAAUGCGUAGAUAUAUGGAAGAACACCAGUGGCGAAGGCGGCUACCUGGUCUGCAACUGACGCUGAGACUCGAAAGCAUGGGUAGCGAACAGGAUUAGAUACCCUGGUAGUCCAUGCCGUAAACGAUGAGUGCUAGGUGUUGGAGGGUUUCCGCCCUUCAGUGCCGGAGCUAACGCAUUAAGCACUCCGCCUGGGGAGUACGACCGCAAGGUUGAAACUCAAAGGAAUUGACGGGGGCCCGCACAAGCGGUGGAGCAUGUGGUUUAAUUCGAAGCUACGCGAAGAACCUUACCAGGUCUUGACAUCUUGCGCCAACCCUAGAGAUAGGGCGUUUCCUUCGGGAACGCAAUGACAGGUGGUGCAUGGUCGUCGUCAGCUCGUGUCGUGAGAUGUUGGGUUAAGUCCCGCAACGAGCGCAACCCUUGUUACUAGUUGCCAGCAUUAAGUUGGGCACUCUAGUGAGACUGCCGGUGACAAACCGGAGGAAGGUGGGGACGACGUCAGAUCAUCAUGCCCCUUAUGACCUGGGCUACACACGUGCUACAAUGGACGGUACAACGAGUCGCGAACUCGCGAGGGCAAGCAAAUCUCUUAAAACCGUUCUCAGUUCGGACUGCAGGCUGCAACUCGCCUGCACGAAGUCGGAAUCGCUAGUAAUCGCGGAUCAGCAUGCCGCGGUGAAUACGUUCCCGGGCCUUGUACACACCGCCCGUCACACCAUGAGAGUUUGUAACACCCAAAGUCGGUGGGGUAACCUUUUAGGAGCCAGCCGC